Molecule: ribosomal RNA, 506 nt
Filed under: uncultured bacterium
Lineage: Bacteria
Description: partial 16S ribosomal RNA
Rfam family: Bacterial small subunit ribosomal RNA
Source: RNAcentral
AUUGAACGCUAACGGCAUGCUUAACACAUGCAAGUCGAACGGCAGCACAGCAGUAGCAAUACUGUGGGUGGCGAGUGGCGGACGGGUGAGUAAUGCAUAGGAAUCUGCCUUGUAGUGGGGGAUAACCCGGGGAAACUCGGGCUGAUACCGCAUAAUCUUUACGAAGCAAAGCGGGGGACCGUAAGGCCUAGCGCCAGAAGAUGAGCCUAUGGCGGAUUAGCUAGUUGGUGGGGUAAAGGCCUACCAAGGCGACGAUCCGUAGCUGGGCGGAGAGGAUGAUCAGCCACACUGGGACUGAGACACGGCCCAGACUCCUACGGGAGGCAGCAGUGGGGAAUAUUGGACAAUGGGCGCAAGCCUGAUCCAGCAAUGCCGUGUGUGUGAAGAAGGCCUUCGGGUUGUAAAGCACUUUUAGUUGGGAAGAAAAGCUUAUGGUUAAUAACCAUGAGUGCUGACGUUACCAGCAGAAAAAGCACUGGCUAACUCUGUGCCAGCCGCCGCCGUAA